GUCUGGGGCCUGAAUCCUAGGGAAGCCAUAGCAGCUCCUCCACCCUUCCUCUCACUCCUCCUCUAGCCUCUUGCUACUCCCCGCACCACUGUUUUAGGGAACCUCUAUCUCCCGACGGCCUGCCACGGGCCAGGCGCUGUGCUGGGGGCUUCACACUUUAAAUCGCUGUUGAGCGGGGCGCGGGGGCGCUGCAACCUAAAGGUGGGAGCUACUCAAAUGGAGGGGCAUCUGUUAAAAUGGCCGGCCUGUCAUUUUCAAAAACUUCAAGGCCGGGCGCGGUGGCUCACGCCUGUAAUCCCAGCACUUUGGGAGGCCGAGGCGGGCGGAUCACGAGGUCAGGAGAUCGAGAUCAUCUUGUCUAACACGGUGAAACUUCAUCUCUACUAAAAAUAGAAAAAAUUAGCCGGGCGUGGUGGCGGGCGCCUGUAAUCCCAGCCUCCCAAGUAGCUGCGAUUACAGGUGUGUGCCACCACUCCCCAUUCAUUGAUUAAGGAUUAUUUUGAGCUGGCCAGGCGUGGUGGCACAUGCCUGUAAUCCCAGCACUUGGGGAGGCCACUGUGGGGGGAUUGCUUGAGCUCAGGAGUUCCAGACCAGCUUGGGCAACGUGGUGAAACCUUGUCUCUACAAAAAAUACAAAAUAUAAAAAAUUUGCCAGGCAUGGUGGUGCAUGUCUAUAAUCCCAGCUACUUGGGAGGCUGAGGCAGGAGGAUUGCUUGAGCCCAGGAGAUUGAGGUUGCAGACCACUACACUCCAGCCUGGGAAACAGAGUGAGACUCUGUCUCAAAAAAAAGGAUUAUUUUGGGAUAAAGGCACUUUAAAAACAAACAAACAAAAUCAGGUGCAAAAAGGUUGCUGUGGGUUGGGCAUGGUCGCUCAGGCCUGUCAUCCCAGCACUUUGGGAGGCAAAGGCAGGCAGACCACCUGAGGUCAGGAGUUCGAGACCAGCCUGACCAACUUGGAGAAACCUCAUCUCUACUAAAAAUACAAAAUUAUCCGGGCGUGGUGGCGCAUGCCUGUAAUCCCAGCUACUAGGGAGGCUGAGGUAGGAGAAUUGCGUGAACCUGGGAGGCAGAGGUUGCAGUGAGCCUCUGACCUUCUUUUUUUCUUCCUGAAAGCAAGAGAUGAAAUUCCAUAUGGAAGACUUUUCUCUAUACGAGGAGAAAAUUAGCAUUCCUUUCAUCCAUGGCAGGAAGUUGAAGCCAAAAUAAAUCUGUACAAACAAAGCUUGUUAAAGCCAGCUCUUCCUAGUCUCU
Molecule: small RNA, 1253 nt
Filed under: Homo sapiens (human)
Lineage: Eukaryota; Metazoa; Chordata; Mammalia; Primates; Hominidae
Description: partial hHO-1 eRNA_E2
Source: RNAcentral